UCACAGUGCAAGUCUUUCACAAUUGCUAAGGUGAGUUAUCCUUGAGUUCUUAGGGCCAAAGCCUCUGUUCUGAAUAGUGCUCUAGUUUUACCUCCUUUAAACAUUAUGCAGAUUAAUAUUUGAGGAGAAAAAGAUUUUGGUGACAUUUCUGACAGGGACUUCCUCCUGUAAUAUGUUAUAUCAUAGAAUCAUAGAAUGUGCUGAACUGGAGUGGAUCCACCAGGAUCAUCAAGUCCAACUUUUGGCCCUGCACAGGACAUUCCAAGAGUCACACCAUGUGCCUGAGAGCAUUGUACAAAUGCUUCUUGAACUCUGUCAGGCUGGUGCUGUGACUACUUCCCUGGGGAGCCUGUUCCACUGCCCAACCACCCUCUGAGUGAAGAACAUUUUUCUAACACUCAACCUAAAUCUCCCCUGACACAACUUUGGGCCAUUGCCUCCAAUCCUGUCACUGGUCACCACAGAGAAGAGAUCAGUGCCUGCCCCUCCUCUUCACCUCACAAGGAAGUUGUAACUGCAAUGAGAUCUCCCUUCAGUCUCCUCCAGGCUGAACAGACCAAGUGACCUCAGCUGAUCCUCAUACAGCUUCCCCUCAAGGCCCUUCACCAUUUUUGUUGCCCUCUUUUGGAUGUUCCUAAGAGUUUAAUGUCUUUCUCAUAUUGUGGUACCCAGAACUGCCCCCAGCACUCGAGGUGAGCCCACCCCAGCUCAGAGCAGAGCAGGACAAUCCCCUUCCUUGCCCGGUGUGAUGCUGUGCCUGAUGCACCCCAGGACACACCUGGGUCCUUCUGGCUGCCAGGGCACUGCUGGCUCAUGUUCAACUUGCCAUCAACCAGGAUCCCCAGGUCUUUCUGUAGCCCUGCUUUCCAACAUCUGAUUCCCCAGUCUGUCCGCCCAUCCAGGAUAGCUCCAUCCCAGGUGCAGAAUCCAACACUUGACCUUGUUAAAAUUCAUACAGUUGCUGAUUGUCCAUCUCUCUAAUUUUUUAGGUCUCAAUGUGGAGCCUCUCUGCCCUUGGACGAGUUUCUCCCAGUUUAGUUCGGUUCAACCUUUCUUAGUGUUUCUGCACAUCCUUCACACCUUCAGUUCAAUUCACAGUAUAGUUUUGCUUUGCAUUUUAUGUCCACAUUCUGCUGCACAACAGAUCCCAGUUAGCUCAAUACAUGUACUUCCCCUGUCCAGCUCAUAGGGUCAAAGGCUCUACAGGCAAUAUGAGGACCUGGAUUUACCUUUCUGUCCCUGCUCCCUUGUAUGCUUUACAUCACUACACCUGAAUACAAAAACCUUCCCUGAUUUCACUUAUUUUGACCCCGUUUCUGAGAUAGAGUUGUGUUGUCAAGUACCCCUCCCUCACAAGGACAGUCAGAGCACUUGGAAAAACAAAGGGAUGGAACAAAGGGCUCAUCUAUUCCAAGUGAGUAGCCCUAGAGCACAGCUGGUAACGUUGCCACAGUGAAUAGUGCUGUGAUUCAGCUCCCUUAUCCUCUGCGACCCGCGAAAUGGAGUCACACUGGAAGUGCCGUCAGUCUGAGCGUCAGGCACUGCCAGAGCAGGUUUGCUGCUCUCAGCCAGCGCAAGUGUGCCCAGCCUGUACAGGGCUCUUGCAAACAAGGUGCACCUGUGCUGAGCUGCUUCUCCCCUCUCCUCCAUCACCAAGCAGAAAAUAUCUGACCCUCGUCCUGACCUUCUGAACAGUUACUCUAUGUCAGUUAUUCCUGGGGUACUUUUAUUUUUAUAUAUAUUUUUUAAUAUAUAUAUGUAAACCCUGGACCCAAAUCAAGAUAAAUCAAAGAUGAAACAGACUCUGUUCUGGUAUUCUUUUGGCCAUAAUACCCAUGAGGUUUCCAGACCUGGGGCAUAACUACACAGACAUCUUCUGCAGGAAUUGGGGUAGAAAUAAGAUCUUUAUCUAGGGCCAUUUUUGCUCUCCCUUCUGUACUGGCAGUAAUACAUUUAAAGGUUCCUGCCCACUGGAAGUGACCUGAAGAGUCCAAGUAUUUUGUGACAUGAAUUUCAUGGGCAGAUGAUGUGAUCCAUCCAUUGCUAGCUGGAGCUAUCUGCAAUUCUUGCACCAGCCCUCAAAAAGUCACAGCUGGAUGCUGCCCAUAAUACUCAUGCUAAAUUUUUUAUUGGAAGAAGCAUAAAUGUAACUAGACCAACCAGGGUUCAAGUGGUGAGGAUCCACCAUGGUGAAGGUGGCAAAGGAGGAGGCAGAAACCCCCUUCAGUACAGCUACUGACUGUGCUCCUGGAAGAGUUUACAGGUUCUUUGGAAGGAAAAGAACCAGAAGUUAUUGCAUCCUCCUAAAGAAGGAGUUCCAGUUUAUUCUGUUUGUUUCUCUUGAAAUCUUCUUUUAACAGAGAAGAACAUUAAUUCCUUCCAGUAAACAAAGCCAAAGAAGGAUGGAUGAGAAGUCAGGCAUUGCCUGCCAUUUGAAAGAUGACCAGAAAAUUCUUUAUAGCUCUUUGUCCUACAUUACUUCAUAUGCCUUGAGCAGCUAUUCUGUUAAAUGUGCCUUUCCAGCUUCCUAGUGUUUUCCCAAGUGAUUUGAAAUACAUGUGGAUUGUACUCAAGGGGUCCUGUCAGUGACACCAUCAAAGGCCAGACUCCUUUUAAAUGUAAAAUUGCUGGUAGGAGGGAGAGCACUCAGAAAUGUUCAUGUAUUCCCUACAUCCUCAGCUAGUAAGCACAGGUUGUAACUGCAGAGCUAUACUUAAUUUCAUAUGUUUUGGGGGAGUUUUGUGCAAUGCACCAGCUGGAAUGAGAGAGGAAAAUUGUCCUUAAAAAGUAAAUCGAAGCGUGUGUUUAGCUUAAUGACCACAAAGAAUCAUGCUGCAGCCUUUGUGUGGCUUCAAGUUAUGAUUUGCUGGAUCAAAGCAAUUCUGGCAGCCAUCUCCUCUUAGAACUAGAUGUAUGAAUCUGAGAGUGAAGAGUCCUGGUUUAUAACAAGGUCAUCUCAUUUCUGUCACUGAAAUUAAUUUCAAUAGAUUCUCUCUUCAGGACACUUUGUCAAGUGAUCUGAGAUUUUGCCACAUGACGUGUAAGAGCUCUAAUGUAAUGGAGAAAUUGAAGCAGCAUUUUGAUUUCCCAGUACAACAUCCCUUUGUCCUCUAAUGCCGAUGCUCUUAAACAAAUGAGGAAAGCUUAAGAAUAGUCAUUUACUCAUGAAAGUAAGCAGCUGGCAUAUCCAGCUUAAACUGACGUGAGCAAAGCACAGAAGGUUUAUUAAACAUUUAGCCAGAUUUUUCUCUACAUAAGCAGAAACUAGUAAAAGGCCAGGACCUCCCUGUUUCAAAUAAAAAAAUAUCUUCAAAGGAUCCUUAGGAACAUCCUUAACUUUUUACAGAGGCUAGUUUUAAGGGCAAAAGAAAUCUCUUCUAAACAGACCCCCCUGCCACUGUGCUUUGCUUCCAGCUCCACAGACGUGUCCUGCCCCUGGUUCCCUCAUAGCCUGCCAAAGCAGGAAUACCAUUGCUCAGUAGUUUACAACACUGGCAAAGUUUAGUCAACAUCUGUAAUGCAAAGAGAUUAUCCUCUGUGACUCAAACAACUGGUCAAAAUGUAAUACUUUGUAGUAAAUUAUUUAAACAAGAUUAAAUUUUUUACUCUGGAAGAGAAGCAUUUAGGUAUCUUUGAUGGAAUCCACCCUCUUGUAAGAAAACGUGAAGUCUUAGCUUCUCCAUCUAAGAAGGAAAGAUGCAAUAGGAGACUGCUUCUUAUUUCACAGCUCCUUGACCAGAGACAACUCUUUGUCUACAGGCUACCUAUGGAAAAUAUACAUUUUUUCCCUUCCCAUUUUUUUACUUCUCUAAAUGAAUCAUCUGCUGGUGCCUAAGGAUAAAUCUAUCCAAUUCCUUGUGCUGGGGUAGAAAUGGAGGGAGAAUAUUGGGCAGUGUAAGGAAGAAGAAAGAAAAGCAAAGUUAAUACAGACCAACUUGCAAAGAUGUUGCUGAUCUAGCCAAAGGGAGCAAAUUCAGAGAAUCAGCUGCAAGAAAAUUAAUUGAGCUGAGACAGACAACUCCUUCUGCACUCUCUUUUUGUCACUCUCUAUCAGUAAGGCAAACAUCCAUAAAAGGGACUCAUAUAAUUAAAUCUCAGUUGCCAGGAAAUACCUUACCCUCCUUUCAUAUAUCCAUUCCUUCCUUCCUGAGCAACUUAACACUUUAAAUCACUUAAAAGGAAGCUUCACCUUUUCAGAGACAAAUGUAGUUAACAUCCCCACCCCAAAAAAAGACAACAAAAUCCUAUUCAUUUUAUCAGCACUAGUUAUAAAGCAUGUUUUUUACUUAAAUAAAAAUAACUUUAACUUAAUGUAAAGGGACCCAAUUAUUUCAGAAAGUGGAAAGUGACCUUAUGGAAAUCGGUAAGAGUUAAUGUCAACUCCAGCACGAUCCUGUGUCAUUCUGAAGACAAGAUGUCUUCUCCAGAUUGCUCCAAAUGACUCAGCACUGGGUAUUGCACUGAAGGAUGGCACCGGCAUUGCCUCAGAGCUCUGCAUACCCUCAGGGAGAAACUGAAAAGGAUAAGAAUCACAGAAUGGGGUGCUUUGGAAGGGACCUUUAAAAUUCAGCUAGUCUAAGUCCCUGGCAAUGAUCAGGGUCAUCUUCAACUUGAUCGGGCAGGUCAAAGUCCAGCCUGACCUUAAGCUUUUCCAGGGAUGAGGCCUGUUGCCCAGUUUCUCUGGGCAACCUGUGCCAGUGUUUCACUAUCCUCAUCAUAAAGAAUUUCUCCCUUGUGUCUGAAUUGACUCAGUUGGAAGCCAUUCCCCCUUGUCCUAUCAUUUCAUGCCUUAUGAAAAAUCCCUCUCCUGCUUUCUUGUUGUCCCACUUUAGGUACUGGAAGGCUUCUAUAAGGUCGCUGUGGAGUCUUCUCUUCUCCAGGCUGAGCCACAAACCUCUCAGCCUUUCCUCACAGGAAAGGUUUUCCAUUCCUUUGAUCAUCUUUGUGUCCCUCCUCAAAACAUUUUCCUGUCCUUCCUGUGCUGGGGUGCCCAGAGCUGGAUGCAGCCCUGCAGGUGGGGUCUCACCAGAGCAGAGCAGAAGGGCAGAAUCCCCUCCCUGGCUCUGCUAGCCACGCUGUUUUGGAUGCAGCUGGGACACACUUUGGAUGCAGUUUGGCUUUCUGGGCUGUGAAUACACAUUGCCAGGUCAUGUCCAUCUUUACAUUCAUCAAAGUUUCUCAGUUUGCAGUUAGAGUUUUGAUUUUGUCUAUUAUUGUAACUGAUCCCUCUGCUCAAAGCUGAUCAAAAAGGAAUCUUAUUUUCACAUGGUUACAUGCGGGGCAGCUUUGGCUAUUUGGUAACUUUAUUGCCAGGAUAUUUGAAGGCUCAGAACAUGAUCUACAAACACACAGGCUUUUCCUAAAGAAUGCCUAAUUUUAUUUAUAUAUUGUAUCUUAAAAUCUUUCAAUAUUACUUGCAAAUUCCAGCCUGUGUUCAUGAUCUACAAUAAAAACAGCUGCUUUAUGUUGUACUACAUGAGAUUUGAAAGAGGCAU
Taeniopygia guttata (zebra finch) is the source of this 5495-nucleotide long non-coding RNA. The record is from Ensembl. Lineage: Eukaryota; Metazoa; Chordata; Aves; Passeriformes; Estrildidae.